Taeniopygia guttata (zebra finch) is the source of this 1278-nucleotide non-coding RNA. The record is from RefSeq and is a predicted model, not a curated record. Lineage: Eukaryota; Metazoa; Chordata; Aves; Passeriformes; Estrildidae.
UGAAGUGGGUCAGCCUUCCUUUCUUAGGCUGAGCAGGGCGAGCCCUUCCCAGCUCAGGCUGAUGCUCAGAGCUGAGCCUUUUCUGAGGGCACAAGCAGCGUUUAAACCCUCAGCCUGGCUGUAAGAGGAGGUGCUGAUUUUUAUUCUGUGCCUGCAGCUCUGCAGUCCUGGCACUUACUGUCCCAAGUGGGCUGCCUUGGGUACAAAAGUAAUGCACCAAAAGGCAGGGGGUUGCUGAAUUAACUGCUGUGCUCUGAGCAUGAGCAUAAUAACGAGCACAGAUGAUGGGAGCUGGCUGUGAGAGAAUAGGAACAGGGAUUUUAAGAUACAGGACCAGCAGGUCUCAGAUUGGCUCAUCCAUCUUUGGCUCUCUUCUGCACAAUCACACUUCUCUCAAGUGUGAAGAGAGUGGGAGAAAUGGUGAAACAAAUAAAGACAAAGAGCCAGAAACUCACGAGUUACAUGAAUUUACUUCCUCCACUGUGUCACCCAUUCGCAGCAGGAUUUCUUGGCUGCCCUUAUGCUAAAUCCAGUUUGGCAGGGCUGAGGCUGGAAUAAGAUCUGCUGAAGGCUUUAGAGAGGUAAAUGUGAGGGUAAGGUGGGGAAGGUCUGUGAGAAAUGAUACUUCCAAAAAUUUAAAAGGUUUAUUAAAACCUUAUCAAAAACACAACAGAAGAUGGAAGAGAAAAAAUAUUGUGGCGUGGCGUCGGGAACAGAGGAUUUUUCCCACCAUGGGCUCACCUACACAAUGGAGGUUUCCCCUUUUAACCCUUUGGUCACUCCCAAAAUUCUGUCCAUUGACUCCUCCUUUGCUGUCCAGUGCCAUUUAUGGGACUAUAUCCUCUUAUUUUACCCUGGCUGCAGUUCCUGGGGGUCGGGAAUGUUGGAGUCCCCAUUCCCUUGUCCCCUCCGGGCAUUCUAUACUCAUGGUACAUCCGUGCUGGAUACCAUGUUUGAAGUCCUUCAGUCUCAUCCCGGUGUCAGUUUUUAACUGUGGCCCACAGUUCAGUGAUUUUUUGCUCUUUAGACAAGAAAAAGAUGAGAGAAAUUCACCAUCAUCUGUGAUGAGCUGUGAGAACAGAGCUAAGUAAGUUUUAACAAUUGAAAUCAGGGGGAAAUGUGGUAGAGAGCGACUCUCCUCUCUUUCUUUCAGAAGUCUGGUGGAAAAUAUGAUCAAUCUCUGCAGCCUCAGAGGGAAUCAAUUUCCCUUACAUAAUUUCACUGUAUUUCACCAUUUAUGGGCCAUAUCUGAGGUGGAACAGUCACCUAAGUUUUGGG